UCCGGGGGCUGCCGCUGGGUCUCACGCGGUCGUCGGGCAUAAACUUAAACAGAGCCACUAGGAAAAAAAGAAAGGGGGAGGAGGAGGAGGUCGAGAUUACCCGUCUGAUCGAGAUCUGACGGACUGCUGACGGUCUGGCCCGGGGGGGUGCGCCUGAGGCGGCUUGGCUUGGCUUGGCUUGGCUCGUCGCGUGUUCUCGGAGAUGGGAGGCGUCAGGGUUGGCACUUGGGGAGCGGCCCCCCGCAGAGGCAGUGGUUGUUGGCGAAGGAGGAGGACUGGAGGUGGUCGAAGGGCUCCCCCGCGGGGAUCUGGCCGCAGAGGUUGUUGUUGCUGAGGUCGAGGUGGCCGACGUAGGAUGCCAGUUUCAGCGUCUUGGGGACGGGGCCUGUCAGACGGUUGUAUGACAGGUCCAGCGCCGUGUAGUAGGACUGCGCGACAAAGGCGUCCGGGAUGGUUCCUUCCAGCGCGUUCCGGCUCAGAUUCAGAAUGUUCAGGCCGUGGCUGGAGAGGAGUGUCGGCGGGAUCGGUCCGGAGAGGGCGUUGCAGUCCAGGUACACCGACGACAGCACUCGCAUCUUCCCGAGCGUGUUCGGGAUCCUCCCGCUGACUCGGUUACUGGACAGGUCCAGAUCGGCGAGCCGUUCCAUGUAUCCGAUCGAGGGGGGGAUGGCGCCGGUGAUCUGGUUCCUCGCAAGCAGCGCUCUACUCAGCAUUCCAAGUUUCCCGAACGUCACCGGGAUGUCGCCGGUGAUGCGGUUGUUGCUCAGGUCGAGGUGCAUCAAGGAAGCGAGGUUGGGGAGGGAUCGCGGGAUCUGGCCGGAGAUCUGGUUUUCGGCGACGGAGAGGACUGUG
This 852-nucleotide long non-coding RNA is filed under the name Spirodela polyrhiza (greater duckweed). Its description in RNAcentral is "long non-coding RNA (SPOL_LNC001716)". Lineage: Eukaryota; Viridiplantae; Streptophyta; Magnoliopsida; Alismatales; Araceae. The record is from RNAcentral.